This 497-nucleotide ribosomal RNA is filed under the name uncultured bacterium. RNAcentral's name for it is "partial 16S ribosomal RNA". It matches the Rfam family "Bacterial small subunit ribosomal RNA", at positions 28 to 507 of the family's 1533-position model. The record is from RNAcentral.
GAUGAACGCUGGCGGCGUGCCUAAUACAUGCCAGUCGAGCGAACGGACGAGAAGCUUGCUUUUCUGAUGUUAGCGGCGGACGGGUGAGUAACACGUGGAUAACCUACCUAUAAGACUGGGAUAACUUCGGGAAACCGGAGCUAAUACCGGAUAAUAUUUUGAACCGCAUGGUUCAAAAGUGAAAGACGGUCUUGCUGUCACUUAUAGAUGGAUCCGCGCUGCAUUAGCUAGUUGGUAAGGUAACGGCUUACCAAGGCAACGAUGCAUAGCCGACCUGAGAGGGUGAUCGGCCACACUGGAACUGAGACACGGUCCAGACUCCUACGGGAGGCAGCAGUAGGGAAUCUUCCGCAAUGGGCGAAAGCCUGACGGAGCAACGCCGCGUGAGUGAUGAAGGUCUUCGGAUCGUAAAACUCUGUUAUUAGGGAAGAACACAUGUGUAAGUAACUGUGCACAUCUUGACGGUACCUAAUCAGAAAGCCACGGCUAACUACGUG